RNAcentral lists this ribosomal RNA (662 nucleotides) under uncultured bacterium. RNAcentral's name for it is "bacterial SSU rRNA". It matches the Rfam family "Bacterial small subunit ribosomal RNA", at positions 94 to 788 of the family's 1533-position model. The record is from RNAcentral.
AGUGGCGGACGGGUGAGUAACGCGUGAGAAUCUGCCUUCAGGUCGGGGACAACAGAGGGAAACUUCUGCUAAUCCCGGAUGAGCCUUAGGGUAAAAAAUUUAUUGCCUGGAGAUGAGCUCGCGUCUGAUUAGCUAGUUGGUAAGGUAAAAGCUUACCAAGGCAACGAUCAGUAGCUGGUCUGAGAGGAUGAGCAGCCACACUGGGACUGAGACACGGCCCAGACUCCUACGGGAGGCAGCAGUGGGGAAUUUUCCGCAAUGGGCGAAAGCCUGACGGAGCAAGACCGCGUGGGGGAGGAAGGCUCUAGGGUUGUAAACCCCUUUUCUUUGGGAAGAACAAAAUGACGGUACCAAAGGAAUCAGCCUCGGCUAACUCCGUGCCAGCAGCCGCGGUAAUACGGAGGAGGCAAGCGUUAUCCGGAAUGAUUGGGCGUAAAGCGUCCGCAGGUGGCAAUGUAAGUCUGCUGUCAAAACCCAGGGCUCAACUCUGGUCAGGCAGUGGAAACUACAUAGCUAGAGUUCGGUAGGGGCAAAGGGAAUUCCCGGUGUAGCGGUGAAAUGCGUAUAGAUCGGGAAGAACAUCGGUGGCGAAAGCGCUUUGCUAGACCGAAACUGACACUCAGGGACGAAAAGCUAGGGGAGCGAAUGGGAUUAGAUACCCC